AAGGAGUCUAACAUCUAUGUGAGUGUUUGGGUGACAAGCCCGAGCGCGUAAUGAAAGUGAACGGAGGUGGGAACCCCUCGGGGCGCACCAUCGACCGAUCCUGAUGUCUUCGGAUGGAUUUGAGUAAGAGCAUAGCUGUUGGGACCCGAAAGAUGGUGAACUAUGCUUGAAUAGGGUGAAGCCAGAGGAAACUCUGGUGGAGGCUCGCAGCGGCUCUGACGUGCAAAUCGAUCGUCAAAUUUGGGCAUAGGGGCGAAAGACUAAUCGAACUAUCUAGUAGCUAGUUCCUGC
RNAcentral lists this unclassified non-coding RNA (291 nucleotides) under uncultured fungus. RNAcentral's name for it is "partial contains 5.8S rRNA, ITS2 and 28S rRNA". It matches the Rfam family "Eukaryotic large subunit ribosomal RNA", at positions 668 to 961 of the family's 3401-position model. The record is from RNAcentral. Lineage: Eukaryota; Fungi.